This 535-nucleotide ribosomal RNA is filed under the name Scedosporium boydii. Its description in RNAcentral is "eukaryotic LSU rRNA". It matches the Rfam family "Eukaryotic large subunit ribosomal RNA", at positions 74 to 627 of the family's 3401-position model. Lineage: Eukaryota; Fungi; Ascomycota; Sordariomycetes; Microascales; Microascaceae. RNAcentral also lists the same sequence under 1 other name. The record is from RNAcentral.
AUUGCCUCAGUAACGGCGAGUGAAGCGGCAACAGCUCAAAUUUGAAAUCUGGCGGCCUCUGGGCCGUCCGAGUUGUAAUUUGAAGAGGAUGCUUUUGGCGAGGUGCCUUCCGAGUGCCCUGGAACGGGACGCCACAGAGGGUGAGAGCCCCGUAUGGUUGGACGCCGAGCCUCUGUAAAGCUCCUUCGACGAGUCGAGUAGUUUGGGAAUGCUGCUCAAAAUGGGAGGUAAACCCCUUCUAAAGCUAAAUACUGGCCAGAGACCGAUAGCGCACAAGUAGAGUGAUCGAAAGAUGAAAAGCACUUUGAAAAGAGAGUUAAACAGCACGUGAAAUUGUUGAAAGGGAAGCGCUUGCGACCAGACUUGUGCUCGUCGAAUCAGCCGCCGCUCGUCGGCGGCGCACUUCGGCGGGCUCAGGCCAGCAUCAGUUCGCUGCAGGGGGAGAAAGGCGAUGGGAAUGUGGCUCUUCGGAGUGUUAUAGCCCGCCGCGCAAUACCCCUCGGCGGACUGAGGACCGCGCAUCUGCAAGGAUGCU